CCUGCUCAAUGAAAAUAUAAAUAGCCGCAGAUAUUUCUGUGCUAAGGUAGCAUAAUCAUUUGUUUUUUAAUUAAAAACUAGAAUGAAAGGUCUAACGUUUUAAUUAUUCUAUCAAUUAUAUUAAUUUAAUUUAUAUUAAAUAUAAAAAUAUAUUUAUAAAAUAAAAAGACGACAAGACCCUAUUGAACUUAACUUAUGUUAAGCUGGGGCAGCUAUUUAAUAAUUAUUUUAAUUUUAUUAUUCUAAAAAUUAUCCAAUACAAUUGAUUUUAUUACCAAGUUACCAUAGGGAUAACAGCAUAAUAUUAUUCAUAAGUUCUUAUUUAAAAUAAUGUUUAUGACCUCGAUGUUGAAUUAUUAUUCUAUACUUAAUGCAACAGUUGUAUAAGUAGGUCUGUUCGACCUUUAAUAUAUUACA
Molecule: ribosomal RNA, 417 nt
Filed under: Theridion melanostictum
Lineage: Eukaryota; Metazoa; Arthropoda; Arachnida; Araneae; Theridiidae
Description: partial 16S ribosomal RNA
Source: RNAcentral